UACGGGGGGGGCAAGCGUUGUUCGGAAUUACUGGGCGUAAAGGGCUCGUAGGUGGUCAACUAAGUCGGACGUGAAAUCCCUCGGCUUAACCGGGGAACUGCGUCCGAUACUGGAUGACUUGAGUUCGGGAGAGGGAUGCGGAAUUCCAGGUGUAGCGGUGAAAUGCGUAGAUAUCUGGAGGAACACCGGUGGCGAAGGCGGCAUCCUGGACCGACGCUGACGCUGAGGAGCGAAAGCCAGGGGAGCAAACGGG
Molecule: ribosomal RNA, 253 nt
Filed under: uncultured bacterium
Lineage: Bacteria
Description: partial 16S ribosomal RNA
Rfam family: Bacterial small subunit ribosomal RNA
Source: RNAcentral